Molecule: long non-coding RNA, 529 nt
Filed under: Homo sapiens (human)
Lineage: Eukaryota; Metazoa; Chordata; Mammalia; Primates; Hominidae
Description: non-protein coding LINC01048:1
Source: RNAcentral
UUUUCUCUUGUCUGUCACCAUGUGAGACAUGGCUUUCACCUUCCAUCAUGAUUGUGAGGCCUCCCCAGCCACAUAGAAUUGUGUCAUGAGAGCCACCCUUCCCAAAGUAGCACUUGUGAGCAGAGGUGAUCAGAGGGCUUUCUGAAGAGUGAGGAGUGACUUCAGAGGGCCAAAAAGAAGAAAAGGGAGUGAGACAGUCGUUAAGACUCCUAAUCCCGGCUUAUUUUUACUGCUUCUCAACACAGCAUUGCAAGUGGCUGAUUUGAUGGAUGUGGCACGUGACCAAGUUCUGGCUAAUGAGAUGUCUGAAACUUAAAGUGGAAGAGAUGUAUCAUCUCCUUUUCCUUGCUCCAUCCUGCUACCUGAAAAAUGGAUGUGGUGACAAGCCCUGGAAAACCACAAGGAUGAGAACAGCACUGGAGAGAUGGUGCAGCGCAUGAUGCAAUUGCCUAGGUAUCUGAUGGCUGAGUAGAAUUUCUCUCCUCCGACUUUUACAUGGGAAGGAAAUAAAACUCUAUUUUGUUUGAAA